GCCUUCGUAGUGUAGUGAUCAACACGCUGGGCGCGUAUUCCAGAGGUCCCUGGUUCGAGUCCAGGCAAAGGCG
Molecule: non-coding RNA, 73 nt
Organism: Stegodyphus mimosarum
Lineage: Eukaryota; Metazoa; Arthropoda; Arachnida; Araneae; Eresidae
Source: Rfam